RNAcentral lists this ribosomal RNA (490 nucleotides) under uncultured bacterium. RNAcentral describes it as "partial 16S ribosomal RNA". It matches the Rfam family "Bacterial small subunit ribosomal RNA", at positions 30 to 507 of the family's 1533-position model. The record is from RNAcentral.
AUUGAACGCUGGCGGCAGGCCUAACACAUGCAAGUCGAACGGUAACAGGAAGCAGCUUGCUGCUUCGCUGACGAGUGGCGGACGGGUGAGUAAUGUCUGGGAAGCUGCCUGAUGGAGGGGGAUAACUACUGGAAACGGUAGCUAAUACCGCAUAAUGUCGCAAGACCAAAGAGGGGGACCUUCGGGCCUCUUGCCAUCGGAUGUGCCCAGAUGGGAUUGGCUUGUUGGUGGGGUAACGGCUCACCAAGGCGACGAUCCCUAGCUGGUCUGAGAGGAUGACCAGCCAAACUGGAACUGAGACACGGUCCGGACUCCUCCGGGAGGCAGCAGUGGGGAAUAUUGCACAAUGGGCGCAAGCCUGCUGCAGCCAUGCCGCGUGUAUGAAGAAGGCCUUCGGGUUGUAAAGUACUUUCAGCGGGGAGGAAGGGAGUAAAGUUAAUACCUUCGCUCAUUGACGUUACCCGCAGAAGAAGCACCGGCUAACUCCGUG